GUAAUCGAACUCUUACACAAUAUGAAGGCGGGCUGGAACCUCUCGGGGUUACAGCCUUGCUGAAUUAUUCACCCUUGUCUUUUGCGUACUUCUUGUUUCCUUGGUGGGUUCGCCCACCACUAGGACAAACAUAAACCUUUUGUAAUUGCAAUCAGCGUCAGUAACAAAUUAAUAAUUACAACUUUCAACAACGGAUCUCUUGGUUCUGGCAUCGAUGAAGAACGCAGCGAAAUGCGAUAAGUAGUGUGAAUUGCAGAAUUCAGUGAAUCAUCGAAUCUUUGAACGCACAUUGCGCCCUUUGGUAUUCCAAAGGGCAUGCCUGUUCGAGCGUCAUUUGUACCCUCAAGCUUUGCUUGGUGUUGGGCGUCUUGUCUCUAGCUUUGCUGGAGACUCGCCUUAAAGUAAUUGGCAGCCGGCCUACUGGUUUCGGAGCGCAGCACAAGUCGCACUCUCUAUCAGCAAAGGUCUAGCAUCCAUUAAGCCUUUUUUUCAACUUUUGACCUCGGAUCAGGUAGGGAUACCCGCUGAACUUAAGCAUAUCAAAAGCCGGGAGGAAA
RNAcentral lists this ribosomal RNA (557 nucleotides) under Alternaria sp. OUCMBI101239. RNAcentral describes it as "eukaryotic LSU rRNA". The stretch from base 180 to 333 matches the Rfam family "5.8S ribosomal RNA". The record is from RNAcentral. Lineage: Eukaryota; Fungi; Ascomycota; Dothideomycetes; Pleosporales; Pleosporaceae.